GCACUCGUAGCUCAGUGGAUAGAGCAACAGCCUCCGGAGCUGUGUGUCGAGGGUUCGAAUCUCUUCGAGUGCG
Clostridium sp. CAG:253 is the source of this 73-nucleotide non-coding RNA. NCBI's taxonomy places the organism in Bacteria, Bacillati, Bacillota, Clostridia, Eubacteriales, Clostridiaceae. The record is from Rfam.